UUAAAAUACGUCCUUACGUUAGAGGAGCGACAAAAUGACCAUCACCGGACCGGCCGUUGCUUGCGGUCACAGAGAUGGGUCCGCGUUCAUGUCACGUGUAGCUUCUGUGUUUUUUGUCACUUCAGUAUUGAGUCCCAAAUGAUUUUAGUUGUUUUUCUGCCGAUUUUUUGUGCCUCGGACGUUGUUUGUGAAUCGCACGGCAGCUGGCGCCCAUUCAUACCACCGAAAAAUAUCAAGGAAGUUAAUGUCCCCAGCAACUUCGAAGAUGCUCUCAAAUCCUCCGCAUUCGUUGACAAAACCGGUUUCAUUCGUGAAUUUUUCGCGAGCAAAGAACCGCUCUACAUCUCUGCACCGCAUGGUUUCGGAAAAUCAACCACCAUUGACAUGCUCAGAAAAUUCUCGGAAGCAAAGGUGGACGUGAACGGGACUCUGAUCGACAGGAACUCUACACGCGACUACAACAUGUUCUUGGACAAGCGGCUCGAGGUGACGAGGGAUUCGAGCUUUUUCAGCAAACACUUCUGCCAGUACCCGGUGUUGGAGUUGCGUUUUAAGUACUUGAUGGCUUCUCAUUCCCUCGGGGAGUUCGAGCGCUUCUUUCGCGCAGUCGUUGUUGUUGCCUCCAAGGAGCACUCCUACCUCACCCGCUCCAGCAAACUUACCAAAGAGGAGCGGCAACGCUACAGUAUCAUCUACAACAACACCCUUAAAUCUGCGCCGGAGGUGAUGGCCAAGGAGAUGACAGCCCUCCUGCACGCUCACUUCAAGAAGAAGUGCAUCGUCCUUAUCGAUGACUUUGACUCGAGCCUUGUCCAAGUGUUGGCCAGUCACGAGCUCCCCAUCGGCGAUGCCCGGGCCAUCUUCGAAAUGCUCCAGAAAUUCUUGACAGUUGUGGUCAAAAAGAACAACCACCUCGAGAAAGCACUCAUCACUGGUUGCGUACACCUUGUCUCUGAAGCAGCCGAUGCCCAUCCGGGAGGCGUUGGCAUUCGCAAUGUGGUCUUUGGGCAGGACGAGAAAAUUGCCCGAUAUUUCGGCUAUACAGAUGACGAGGUAUUGUAUCUAUCUCGUAAAACGAAUAAAGACUAUCUCAUGGAUGUGAUACGAGCAUGGUACGGAGGAUACAUAGUCAUGAAUAGUAAAAUAAGGCUUUUCAACAUGAUUUCAAUCUCAACAUUUUUCAAGACAGGAAACAUGUCCAGCUUUUGGGCUGAUGGUCCCGAAGUAAAUUCUACCAAAUCCAUUAGUUUUAUUUUCGACUACAAAAUUAUUGGUGACGAAGUACGGAAAUCUUUGUCCCAAGACGUAAUUCGAAUUAAACUUGGAUCUCCUCUCUCGAGGGCGUUCUCAGUCGAGGCAAUAGUCGGUCUCGUGGAGGAAGCAUGGUUGUACAAAGAGACGAAUGGUGACCGCCUCAUGACGCAGAAGGGACUGUUGAUGAAGUAUUUGACUGACCACGGCUACUACUCCGCUUUCUAUGACUUGGACCCCGCUCAUGAUCAGGUCUUUUCGGCCUUCAUCCCCAACUACGAGAUCCGCGGUCUUCUCGAUAGUUUCAUCUACACGCCGCUCUUCUUCAAAAGCAAGUACAAUCUCACCGAAGUUGCCAUCGGGGCGUUUAUCCAAUCGCUCUUUAAUCUUACGCAGGCCGAAUCUGGGUACAAAGACUUAGCCAUGGCCAUGUCAAAGCUGAUCGCAAACGUUCCUACUGGUGAGGGCGCUGCAGAGUGGAUUCGGAUGUUGGCCAUCUUCGCGGACUACUCUGAAAAAUUCGAGUUCAUCGGUCGUGAGAUGCUGCCCGAUAAGGAGCAAGGCCAAAACCUCAUCAUCAUCACGAAAGAACCAGAGCUACCAAACGGAAAGGGCCCUCGCACGGGUAUCCUCAUAAGGGUCAUGACCGAUGAAGGGUCAGCGCAAGUCGCGCUUGCAGAUAUCCUCAGGCACGGUUAUCAGGGAAUAUUCGAAGAAAAGCUCAAAAUGCUGCCCAUUGGGAACAAGAUCCUCAUCGGGGUGCACCUUGCCUCAGAUCAACUGGUCUCAAUGAGGUACUUAAACGGUAGCACUAACAUCGAGCACGCCCGUAAUGCGACCAGCGAUCAGAAAUAACAGGUCCUUAGAAUUGAAUAUCAUGGGAAAAAAGACAGAUACUCUCCAGUGUGUGGGGUGUUUUUUGAGAGUAACAUGAGCAACACGGCCAAAGAUAGGAGAAACGUAAUGAGGCCUCGUUUUUAACUUUUCUGUCGAAUCUGAGCGACACCUCAUCGGCAGCAAAGAGCGGGCCAUUGCGAGUAUCACGCCUCGCACCAUCGCGCCUUCAAUUUUGCAGAUGCAACACGGACAUCCAUCAAGCACGAAUAGUUGUAUCUCUGCGUCGUCAUGAAUGCGCGUCUUUUUUGCUCUAUUUUCAUAUUGUGUUUGUCUCUGUUGGAAACAACACGCAUUGGAACACAUCACAAUCACCUGAACUCUGUCGUCAUCUUCUUAGUUUGAAUUGUGUCCAAAAGAAUUCUGCUCUCAAAUAUAGAAAUUUAUAGACAAAACGAUAGACAAGCAACACAAACUGAAAAUAAAGCGAUCGUAUUGGUGGAAGCAGAUGGUUGCAAUCAAAGGAGGUAAGUGGUAAGUAAUAGACUAACUGAAGACAACCCACGAAAGACCCUGUAGCUAAUAAUCUAUCAUUUUCCUUCUUAGUCUAUAACAACCACCCGUUUAACCAAUAGAAUCGUUAUGUUCCCUAUGUC
Molecule: non-coding RNA, 2741 nt
Organism: Bemisia tabaci
Lineage: Eukaryota; Metazoa; Arthropoda; Insecta; Hemiptera; Aleyrodidae
Source: RefSeq, a predicted model, not a curated record